CACAUGCAAGUCGAACGAUGAAGCCCUUCGGGGUGGAUUAGUGGCGAACGGGUGAGUAACACGUGGGCAAUCUGCCCUUCACUCUGGGACAAGCCCUGGAAACGGGGUCUAAUACCGGAUAAUACUCCUGCCUGCAUGGGCGGGGGUUGAAAGCUCCGGCGGUGAAGGAUGAGCCCGCGGCCUAUCAGCUUGUUGGUGGGGUAAUGGCCCACCAAGGCGACGACGGGUAGCCGGCCUGAGAGGGCGACCGGCCACACUGGGACUGAGACACGGCCCAGACUCCUACGGGAGGCAGCAGUGGGGAAUAUUGCACAAUGGGCGAAAGCCUGAUGCAGCGACGCCGCGUGAGGGAUGACGGCCUUCGGGUUGUAAACCUCUUUCAGCAGGGAAGAAGCGAAAGUGACGGUACCUGCAGAAGAAGCGCCGGCUAACUACGUGCCAGC
RNAcentral lists this ribosomal RNA (443 nucleotides) under Streptomyces sp. Its description in RNAcentral is "bacterial SSU rRNA". It matches the Rfam family "Bacterial small subunit ribosomal RNA", at positions 52 to 512 of the family's 1533-position model. The record is from RNAcentral. Lineage: Bacteria; Bacillati; Actinomycetota; Actinomycetes; Kitasatosporales; Streptomycetaceae.